Molecule: ribosomal RNA, 253 nt
Filed under: uncultured bacterium
Lineage: Bacteria
Description: partial 16S ribosomal RNA
Rfam family: Bacterial small subunit ribosomal RNA
Source: RNAcentral
UACGGAGGGUGCGAGCGUUGUCCGGAAUCACUGGGCGUAAAGCGCACGUAGGCGGAUUGUUAAGUCAGGGGUGAAAUCCUGGAGCUCAACUCCAGAACUGCCUUUGAUACUGGCGAUCUCGAGUCCGGGAGAGGUGAGUGGAACUGCGAGUGUAGAGGUGAAAUUCGUAGAUAUUCGCAAGAACACCAGUGGCGAAGGCGGCUCACUGGCCCGGUACUGACGCUGAGGUGCGAAAGCGUGGGGAGCAAACAGG